Long non-coding RNA from Mauremys reevesii (Reeves's turtle), 198 nucleotides. RefSeq lists it as uncharacterized. The record is from RefSeq and is a predicted model, not a curated record. The transcript has 2 exons. Lineage: Eukaryota; Metazoa; Chordata; Testudines; Geoemydidae.
CAACUGAGCUAACAGCAAACACAUCAACUGACUGCUUGUCUCUGAGGUCUCUCCGGAUCUGUUGAAGUUUCAGGCAGAAGAGAAUAAAACUUCUCCACAUGGUCAGCUGUUUCUGGAUAUCAUCAGAUCAAGCACAAUCUACCCUGUAAGCUAAAUGGACUGUGUGAGUCGUUUAACAGCAGAUGUUAAAGAACGGAA